CCUACGGGAGGCAGCAGUGAGGAAUAUUGGUCAAUGGGCGCAAGCCUGAACCAGCCAAGUCGCGUGAGGGAGGACGGCCCAAAGGGUUGUAAACCUCUUUUGCCGGGGAGCAACGGGCGCCACGCGUGGCGUCACGGAGAGUACCCGGAGAAAAAGCAUCGGCUAACUCCGUGCCAGCAGCCGCGGUAAACCGGGGGAUGAGAGCGUUAUCCGGAUGUAUUGGGUUAAAAGGGUGCGUAGGCGGAUCGUGAAGUCAGGGGUAAAAUUGGGGGGCUCAACCCCUUCACGCCGUUGAAACUGGCGUUCUUGAGUGGGAGGGAAGUAUGCGGAAUGCGUGGUGUAGCGGUGAAAUGCAUAGAUAUCGCGCAGAACCCCGAUUGCGAAGGCAGCAUGCCG
Molecule: ribosomal RNA, 396 nt
Filed under: uncultured bacterium
Lineage: Bacteria
Description: partial 16S ribosomal RNA
Rfam family: Bacterial small subunit ribosomal RNA
Source: RNAcentral